CCCUUAGAUGUUCUGGGCCGCACGCGUGCUACACUGAGUGGAUCAGCGGGUCAGGUUGCGCGAAAGCGUUUCCUAAUCUUUAAAUCCGCUCGUGAUGGGGAUUGACGGUUGCAAUUUUCUGUCAUGAACGAGGAAUACCUUGUAAGCGCGGGUCAUCAUCCCGCGCUGAAUACGUCCCUGCCCUUUGUACACACCGCCCGUCGCUCCUACCGAUUAAGUGGUCCGGUGAGGCUUUGGGAUCUGAGCGGAAAGAGCGUUUCGCUGUUUCUGCUCGGAAAACUCAGUCGAACCUUAUCAUUUAGAGGAAGGAGAAGGCGUAACA
Molecule: ribosomal RNA, 322 nt
Filed under: uncultured eukaryote
Lineage: Eukaryota
Description: partial 18S ribosomal RNA
Rfam family: Eukaryotic small subunit ribosomal RNA
Source: RNAcentral